GUAGGUGGCAAGCGUUGUCCGGAAUUAUUGGGCGUAAAGCGCGCGCAGGUGGUUCCUUAAGUCUGAUGUGAAAGCCCCCCGGGCUCAACCGGGGAGGGUCAUUGGAAACUGGGGAACUUGAGUGCAGGAGAGGAAAGUGGAAUUCCACGUGUAGCGGUGAAAUGCGUAGAUAUGUGGAGGAACACCAGUGGCGAAGGCGACUUUCUGGCCUGUAACUGACACUGAGGCGCGAAAGCGUGGGGAGCAAACAGGAUUAGAUACCCUGGUAGUCCACGCCGUAAACGAUGAGUGCUAAGUGUUGGGGGGUUUCCGCCCCUCAGUGCUGCAGCUAACGCAUUAAGCACUCCGCCUGGGGAGUACGGUCGCAAAGACUG
This 374-nucleotide ribosomal RNA is filed under the name uncultured organism. RNAcentral's name for it is "partial 16S ribosomal RNA". It matches the Rfam family "Bacterial small subunit ribosomal RNA", at positions 527 to 896 of the family's 1533-position model. The record is from RNAcentral.